Molecule: ribosomal RNA, 253 nt
Filed under: uncultured bacterium
Lineage: Bacteria
Description: partial 16S ribosomal RNA
Rfam family: Bacterial small subunit ribosomal RNA
Source: RNAcentral
UACGAAGGGGGCUAGCGUUGUUCGGAAUUACUGGGCGUAAAGGGCGCGUAGGCGGUUUGUCAAGUCAGGCGUGAAAGCCCCGGGCUCAACCUGGGAACUGCGCUUGAGACUGGCAGGCUCGAGUUCGGGAGAGGAUGGUGGAAUUCCCAGUGUAGAGGUGAAAUUCGUAGAUAUUGGGAAGAACACCGAUGGCGAAGGCAGCCAUCUGGACCGACACUGACGCUGAGGCGCGAAAGCCAGGGGAGCAAACGGG